Molecule: ribosomal RNA, 433 nt
Filed under: uncultured bacterium
Lineage: Bacteria
Description: partial 16S ribosomal RNA
Rfam family: Bacterial small subunit ribosomal RNA
Source: RNAcentral
AACGAACGCUGGCGGCAUGCCUAACACAUGCAAGUCGAACGAGACCUUCGGGUCUAGUGGCGCACGGGUGCGUAACGCGUGGGAACCUGCCCUUAGGUUCGGAAUAACUCCCCGAAAGGGGUGCUAAUACCGGAUAAUGUCUUCGGACCAAAGAUUUAUCGCCUUUGGAUGGUCCCGCGUUGGAUUAGCUAGUUGGUAGGGUAAAAGCCUACCAAGGCGACGAUCCAUAGCUGGUCUGAGAGGAUGAUCAGCCACACUGGGACUGAGACACGGCCCAGACUCCUACGGGAGGCAGCAGUGGGGAAUAUUGGACAAUGGGCGAAAGCCUGAUCCAGCAAUGCCGCGUGAGUGAUGAAGGCCUUAGGGUUGUAAAGCUCUUUUACCCGGGAUGAUAAUGACGGUACCGGGAGAAUAAGCUCCGGCUAACUCCGUG